AAACUAUUCGAAUAGCCGUGCCCGCGGUUAUGGGCAGGUCUAACAAUGUUUUUCGUGAUUAGUCUCACACCUCUCACAAUAAUUAUUGAUGCUAUAACUGGUAAUAAUUUGUUUAGCUCCUGGUUUGGAGUUAGAUCUGUACAGCCGGGUAUGGUUGUUCAGGAUGGUUGGGCCUGUGCAGCAUGGGUGU
This 190-nucleotide unclassified non-coding RNA is filed under the name Oryza sativa (Asian cultivated rice). RNAcentral's name for it is "partial microRNA MIR470e-7 precursor". The record is from RNAcentral. Lineage: Eukaryota; Viridiplantae; Streptophyta; Magnoliopsida; Poales; Poaceae.